CGGGACGGGUGAGUAAUGUCUGGGAAACUGCCUGAUGGAGGGGGGUAACUACUGGAAACGGUAGCUAAUACCGCAUAACGUCGCAAGACCAAAGAGGGGGACCGUUCGGGCCUCUUGCCAUCGGAUGUGCCCAGAUGGGAUUAGCUAGUAGGUGGGGUAACGGCUCACCUAGGCGACGAUCCCUAGCUGGUCUGAGAGGAUGCCAGCCACACUGGAACUGAGACACGGUCCAG
RNAcentral lists this ribosomal RNA (233 nucleotides) under uncultured bacterium. RNAcentral describes it as "partial 16S ribosomal RNA". It matches the Rfam family "Bacterial small subunit ribosomal RNA", at positions 100 to 334 of the family's 1533-position model. The record is from RNAcentral.